AAUUAGUCUCCUAAUUAGGGACAAGAAUGAAAGGUAUCACUAGGGUAUAACGACAAUAAGCUAAAGGUGAAAUUUUACUGUUGGUGAAAAUACCUACAUGCCACAUCAAGACAAGAAGACCCUAUGAAGCUUUAUGACAAUUUAUUUUAUAUUACUGCAGAAAUAGUCAUUUUUUUGGGGUAAAAUUAAAUAAUUUUAUUUAAAGUGUUUAAUUUAAGGAUCCUUUUUGAACUAUGAAUUAGCUCCUCUAGGGAUAACAGCACUAUUCUAAUGAGAGAUCUUAUCGAUAUUAGAGU
This 296-nucleotide ribosomal RNA is filed under the name Eucalanus hyalinus. Its description in RNAcentral is "partial 16S rRNA". The record is from RNAcentral. Lineage: Eukaryota; Metazoa; Arthropoda; Copepoda; Calanoida; Eucalanidae.